GGGGAGGCUUACAUGCAGUCGAACGGGGAAGCCAUUUUUGAAGCGAUUAGCUUGCUAAGAGUGGAAAUGUUGGCAUCCUUUUGGCGGACGGGUGAGUAACGCGUGGGGAACCUGCCCUGUACAGGGGGAUAACACUUAGAAAUAGGUGCUAAUACCGCAUAAGCGCACAGUAUCGCAUGAUACAGUGUGAAAAACUCCGGUGGUACAGGAUGGACCCGCGUCUGAUUAGCUGGUUGGCGGGGUAACGGCCCACCAAGGCGACGAUCGGUAGCCGGCCUGAGAGGGUGAACGGCCACAUUGGGACUGAGACACGGCCCAAACUCCUACGGGAGGCAGCAGUGGGGAAUAUUGGACAAUGGGGGGAACCCUGAUCCAGCGACGCCGCGUGAGUGAAGAAGUAUUUCGGUAUGUAAAGCUCUAUCAGCAGGGAAGAAAAUGACGGUACCUGACUAAGAAGCCCCGGCUAACUACGUGCCAGCAGCCGCGGUAAUACGUAGGGGGCAAGCGUUAUCCGGAUUUACUGGGUGUAAAGGGAGCGUAGACGGUGCAGCAAGUCUGAUGUGAAAGGUCGGGGCCCAACCCCGGGACUGCAUUGGAAACUGUUGAACUGGAGUACAGGAGAGGUAAGCGGAAUUCCUAGUGUAGCGGUGAAAUGCGUAGAUAUUAGGAGGAACACCAGUGGCGAAGGCGGCUUACUGGACUGUAACUGACGUUGAGGCUCGAAAGCGUGGGGAGCAAACAGGAUUAGAU
RNAcentral lists this ribosomal RNA (750 nucleotides) under uncultured bacterium. RNAcentral's name for it is "bacterial SSU rRNA". It matches the Rfam family "Bacterial small subunit ribosomal RNA", at positions 41 to 783 of the family's 1533-position model. The record is from RNAcentral.